UAUAUGGGUUAGUGGCGGACGGGUGAGUAACGCGUGGGUAACCUGCCUUACACAGGGGGAUAACACUUAGAAAUAGGUGCUAAAACCGCAUAAGCGCACAGCUUCGCAUGAAGCGGUGUGAAAAACUCCGGUGGUGUAAGAUGGACCCGCGUCUGAUUAGCUUGUUGGCGGGGUAACGGCCCACCGAGGCGACGAUGCGUAGGGGUUCUGAGAGGAAGGUCCCCCACACUGGUACUGAGACACGGACCAGACUCCUACGGAAGGCAGCAG
This 270-nucleotide ribosomal RNA is filed under the name uncultured bacterium. RNAcentral describes it as "partial 16S ribosomal RNA". It matches the Rfam family "Bacterial small subunit ribosomal RNA", at positions 84 to 354 of the family's 1533-position model. The record is from RNAcentral.